Molecule: ribosomal RNA, 376 nt
Filed under: uncultured bacterium
Lineage: Bacteria
Description: bacterial SSU rRNA
Rfam family: Bacterial small subunit ribosomal RNA
Source: RNAcentral
AACGAACGCUGGCGGCAGGCUUAACACAUGCAAGUCGAACGCGUGUAGCAAUACACGAGUGGCGCACGGGUGAGUAACGCGUGGAUAUCUGCCUUUUGGUUCGGAAUAACCCCGGGAAACUGGGGCUAAUACCGGAUGGUUCCUUCGGGAUAAAGAUUUAUCGCCAAAAGAUGAGUCCGCGUACGAUUAGCUAGUUGGUGAGGUAAUGGCUCACCAAGGCGACGAUCGUUAGCUGGUCNGAGAGGACGAUCAGCCACACUGGGACUGAGACACGGCCCAGACUCCUACGGGAGGCAGCAGUGGGGAAUAUUGGACAAUGGGGGCAACCCUGAUCCAGCCAUGCCGCGUGAGUGAUGAAGGCCUUCGGGUUGUAAGU